GCCGUCUAGAUAUGCUGCCUCUACGUGGCAGAUAGCGAGCAACAGAGCGAAUGGAAAAAACGUUCUCUGGCUAGUACGAUAU
This 82-nucleotide non-coding RNA is filed under the name unclassified sequences. The record is from RNAcentral.